Molecule: ribosomal RNA, 687 nt
Filed under: Acinetobacter baumannii
Lineage: Bacteria; Pseudomonadati; Pseudomonadota; Gammaproteobacteria; Moraxellales; Moraxellaceae
Description: partial 23S ribosomal RNA
Rfam family: Bacterial large subunit ribosomal RNA
Source: RNAcentral
AGGUUAACCGUAUAGGGGAGCCGUAGAGAAAUCGAGUCUUAAUAGGGCGUUUAGUUGCUGGGUAUAGACCCGAAACCAGGCGAUCUAUCCAUGAGCAGGUUGAAGGUUGGGUAACACUAACUGGAGGACCGAACCCACUGUCGUUGAAAAGCCAGGGGAUGACUUGUGGAUAGGGGGGAAAGGCUAAUCAAGCCUGGUGAUAGCUGGUUCUCCCCGAAAGCUAUUUAGGUAGCGCCUCGGACGAAUACCAUAGGGGGUAGAGCACUGUUUCGGCUAGGGGGUCAUCCCGACUUACCAAACCGAUGCAAACUCCGAAUACCUAUGAGUACUAUCCGGGAGACAGACUGCGGGUGCUAACGUCCGUAGUCAAGAGGAAAACAAUCCAGACCGCCAGCUAAGGCCCCAAAAUCAUAGUUAAGUGGGAAACGAUGUGGGAAGGCAUAGACAGCUAGGAGGUUGGCUUAGAAGCAGCCACCCUUUAAAGAAAGCGUAAUAGCUCACUAGUCGAGUCGGCCUGCGCGGAAGAUGUAACGGGGCUAAAACUAUGUGCCGAAGCUGCGGAUGUAUACUUUGUAUACGUGGUAGGGGAGCGUUCUGUAAGCCGAUGAAGGUGUGUUGAGAAGCAUGCUGGAGGUAUCAGAAGUGCGAAUGCUGACGUGAGUAACGACAAAACGGGUGAAAAACCCG